Molecule: ribosomal RNA, 549 nt
Filed under: uncultured bacterium
Lineage: Bacteria
Description: bacterial SSU rRNA
Rfam family: Bacterial small subunit ribosomal RNA
Source: RNAcentral
UGGGGAAUAUUGGACAAUGGGCGAAAGCCUGAUCCAGCCAUGCCGCGUGUGUGAAGAAGGCCUUUUGGUUGUAAAGCACUUUAAGUGGGGAGGAAAAGCUUAUGGUUAAUACCCAUAAGCCCUGACGUUACCCACAGAAUAAGCACCGGCUAACUCUGUGCCAGCAGCCGCGGUAAUACAGAGGGUGCAAGCGUUAAUCGGAAUUACUGGGCGUAAAGCGCGCGUAGGUGGUUAUUUAAGUCAGAUGUGAAAGCCCCGGGCUUAACCUGGGAACUGCAUCUGAUACUGGAUAACUAGAGUAGGUGAGAGGGGAGUAGAAUUCCAGGUGUAGCGGUGAAAUGCGUAGAGAUCUGGAGGAAUACCGAUGGCGAAGGCAGCUCCCUGGCAUCAUACUGACACUGAGGUGCGAAAGCGUGGGUAGCAAACAGGAUUAGAUACCCUGGUAGUCCACGCCGUAAACGAUGUCUACCAGUCGUUGGGUCUUUUAAAGACUUAGUGACGCAGUUAACGCAAUAAGUAGACCGCCUGGGGAGCACGGCCGCAAGGUUA